AGUGAACGCUGGCGGUAGGCCUAACACAUGCAAGUCGAACGGCAGCACAGUAAGAGCUUGCUCUUACGGGUGGCGAGUGGCGGACGGGUGAGGAAUACAUCGGAAUCUACUUUUUCGUGGGGGAUAACGUAGGGAAACUUACGCUAAUACCGCAUACGACCUACGGGUGAAAGCAGGGGAUCUUCGGACCUUGCGCGAUUGAAUGAGCCGAUGUCGGAUUAGCUAGUUGGCGGGGUAAAGGCCCACCAAGGCGACGAUCCGUAGCUGGUCUGAGAGGAUGAUCAGCCACACUGGAACUGAGACACGGUCCAGACUCCUACGGGAGGCAGCAGUGGGGAAUAUUGGACAAAGGGCGCAAGCCUGAUCCAGCCAUACCGCGUGGGUGAAGAAGGCCUUCGGGUUGUAUAGCCCUUUUGUUGGGAAAGAAAAGCAGCAGGUUAAUACCCCGCUGUUCUGACGGUACCCAAAGAAUAAGCACCGGCUAACUUCGUG
RNAcentral lists this ribosomal RNA (492 nucleotides) under uncultured bacterium. RNAcentral's name for it is "partial 16S ribosomal RNA". It matches the Rfam family "Bacterial small subunit ribosomal RNA", at positions 29 to 507 of the family's 1533-position model. The record is from RNAcentral.